UAUAUGGCUCUGGACCUCUCCAUUGUGUUCAACCCAGCAUGCAUCACAUCAAGUCAGAUCUGUACAGAUCUGCAUGAAGACGAACACGCCUAU
This is a long non-coding RNA of Alosa sapidissima (American shad), 93 nucleotides long. RefSeq lists it as uncharacterized. The transcript is spliced from 3 exons. Lineage: Eukaryota; Metazoa; Chordata; Actinopteri; Clupeiformes; Clupeidae. The record is from RefSeq and is a predicted model, not a curated record.